This 254-nucleotide ribosomal RNA is filed under the name uncultured bacterium. RNAcentral's name for it is "partial 16S ribosomal RNA". It matches the Rfam family "Bacterial small subunit ribosomal RNA", at positions 524 to 776 of the family's 1533-position model. The record is from RNAcentral.
GACGUAGGGGACGAGCGUUGUCCGGAUUCAUUGGGCGUAAAGCGCGCGUAGGCGGCCACGCAAGUCGGGUGUGAAAUCCCGGAGCUCAACUCCGGAACUGCACUCGAAAACUGCGCGGCUUGAGGUAGGUAGGGGAGAUCGGAAUUCCUGGUGUAGCGGUGGAAUGCGCAGAUAUCAGGAGGAACACCGGUGGCGAAGGCGGAUCUCUGGGCCUUACCUGACGCUGAGACGCGAAAGCUAGGGGAGCGAACAGG